Molecule: unclassified non-coding RNA, 238 nt
Filed under: Hevea brasiliensis (rubber tree)
Lineage: Eukaryota; Viridiplantae; Streptophyta; Magnoliopsida; Malpighiales; Euphorbiaceae
Source: RNAcentral
GGCCAUCCAAGUUCGAUUUUCAGUCUACAAAUUUUCAUCGCAGUUUAGUGAGCAGGUGCCACAUCACCAAAAUUCAAACCGCUUAAUUGUUGUGAACCAAAACUAGGUCAACCGGUUCACACAAGUUGAAUUGGUUUUUUUCAAUAAAGGGUUUCAAACCAGAAGCGAACCAAUAUCUGGUCCCAUUACAGGGUUUUCUGGUCCAGCUUUAAAAGCUACAAUAAUCACCAUGCCUUUU